RNAcentral lists this ribosomal RNA (443 nucleotides) under uncultured bacterium. RNAcentral describes it as "partial 16S ribosomal RNA". It matches the Rfam family "Bacterial small subunit ribosomal RNA", at positions 338 to 795 of the family's 1533-position model. The record is from RNAcentral.
CCUACGGUGGGCAGCAGUGGGGAAUAUUGGGCAAUGGGCGCAAGCCUGACCCAGCAACGCCGCGUGAAGGAAGAAGGCUUUCGGGUUGUAAACUUCUUUUAUUAGGGACGAAACAAAUGGCGGUACUCAAUGAAUAAGCCACUGCUAACUACGUACCAGCAGCCGCGGUAAUACGUAGGUGGCAAGCGUUAUCCGGAUGUACUGGGUGUAAAGGGCGUGUAGGCGUGACGGCAAGUCAGAUGUGAAAACCAUGGGCUCAACCCACGUCCUGCAUUUGAAACUGGAGUUCUUGAGUGAUGGAGAGGCAGGCGGAAUGCCGAGGGGAGCGGUGAAAUGCGUAGAUAUAAGGAGGAACACCAGUGGCGAAGGCGGCCUGAUGGACAGUAACUGACGCUGAGGCGCGAAAGCGUGGGGAGCAAACAGGAUUAGAUACCCCUGUAGUC